AGGAAAGGGAGGGAUUCG
Molecule: transfer RNA, 18 nt
Filed under: Elaphoglossum ciliatum
Lineage: Eukaryota; Viridiplantae; Streptophyta; Polypodiopsida; Polypodiales; Dryopteridaceae
Also listed under: 10 other names
Description: partial tRNA-Ser
Source: RNAcentral